GAUGUAGAACCUGGCGCGCUGUUCCUUGACAAGCCUAGCGCAUUUCCUAGAGAAGGAGCACCUCCGCUGCUGCUGCGAUGAAUUCUUCAUCAGAGGCGUUGUGGUGGUGGUGGAGGAGGAAGAAGCGACGACGGCGGCGGAGGAGGAGCGGGAGCUUCUGGAGGAGUAUUCCUUCUUGGAGAGCUUCCACUUGUCGUCGAGGUAGAAG
RNAcentral lists this long non-coding RNA (208 nucleotides) under Linum usitatissimum (flax). Its description in RNAcentral is "long non-coding RNA (LUSI_LNC000094)". Lineage: Eukaryota; Viridiplantae; Streptophyta; Magnoliopsida; Malpighiales; Linaceae. The record is from RNAcentral.